UGAACAUGUUACUGCUAAAGAGAAGAUCUGCACAAGGACAUCGAACUGUUAGCUGUGAGUAUACGUCUAUAUUACUUACCCGGAGAGUUUACCUGUUUUA
Molecule: long non-coding RNA, 100 nt
Organism: Melanotaenia boesemani (Boeseman's rainbowfish)
Lineage: Eukaryota; Metazoa; Chordata; Actinopteri; Atheriniformes; Melanotaeniidae
Exons: 3
Source: RefSeq, a predicted model, not a curated record